UGGGGAAUUUUGGACAAUGGGGGAAACCCUGAUCCAGCCAUCCCGCGUGUGCGAUGAAGGCCUUCGGGUUGUAAAGCACUUUUGGCAGGAAAGAAACGUCAUGGGUUAAUACCCCGUGAAACUGACGGUACCUGCAGAAUAAGCACCGGCUAACUACGUGCCAGCAGCCGCGGUAAUACGUAGGGUGCAAGCGUUAAUCGGAAUUACUGGGCGUAAAGCGUGCGCAGGCGGUUCGGAAAGAAAGAUGUGAAAUCCCAGAGCUCAACUUUGGAACUGCAUUUUUAACUACCGGGCUGGAGUGUGUCGGAGGGAGGUGGAAUUCCGCGUGUAGCAGUGAAAUGCGUAGAUAUGCGGAGGAACACCGAUGGCGAAGGAAGCCUCCGGGGAUAACACUGACGCUAAUGCACGAAAGCGUGGGGAGCAAACAGG
RNAcentral lists this ribosomal RNA (429 nucleotides) under Acidobacteriota bacterium. RNAcentral describes it as "Acidobacteria bacterium partial 16S ribosomal RNA". It matches the Rfam family "Bacterial small subunit ribosomal RNA", at positions 355 to 776 of the family's 1533-position model. Lineage: Bacteria; Pseudomonadati; Acidobacteriota. The record is from RNAcentral.